GGGGAUGUAGCUCAGUGGUAGAGCACUUGCCUAGCAAGCACAAGGCCCUGGGUUCGGUCCCCAGCUCCA
RNAcentral lists this transfer RNA (69 nucleotides) under Rattus norvegicus (Norway rat). It matches the Rfam family "tRNA". From Rfam's summary of the family: Transfer RNA (tRNA) molecules are approximately 80 nucleotides in length. Their secondary structure includes four short double-helical elements and three loops (D, anti-codon, and T loops). Further hydrogen bonds mediate the characteristic L-shaped molecular structure. tRNAs have two regions of fundamental functional importance: the anti-codon, which is responsible for specific mRNA codon recognition, and the 3' end, to which the tRNAs corresponding amino acid is attached (by aminoacyl-tRNA synthetases). tRNAs cope with the degeneracy of the genetic code in two manners: having more than one tRNA (with a specific anti-codon) for a particular amino acid; and 'wobble' base-pairing, i.e. permitting non-standard base-pairing at the 3rd anti-codon position. Lineage: Eukaryota; Metazoa; Chordata; Mammalia; Rodentia; Muridae. The record is from Rfam by way of RNAcentral.